GACGAACGCUGGCGGCGUGCUUAACACAUGCAAGUCGAACGGAAAGGCCCCUUUGGGGGUACUCGAGUGGCGAACGGGUGAGUAACACGUGAGUAACCUGCCCUUGACUUCGGGAUAACUUCAGGAAACUGGGGCUAAUACCGGAUAGGAAUCCUUGCUGCAUGGUGGGGGUUGGAAAGCUUCGGCGGUUUUGGAUGGACUCGCGGCUUAUCAGCUUGUUGGUGGGGUAGUGGCUUACCAAGGCUUUGACGGGUAGCCGGCCUGAGAGGGCGACCGGCCACAUUGGGACUGAGAUACGGCCCAGACGCCUACGGGAGGCAGCAGUGGGGAAUAUUGCACAAUGGGCGGAAGCCUGAUGCAGCAGCGCCGCGUGCGGGAUGACGGCCUUCGGGUUGUAAACCGCGUUCAGCAGGGGCGAAGCUUGUGGUGACGGUACCUGCAGAAGAAGCACCGGCUAACUACGUG
Molecule: ribosomal RNA, 465 nt
Filed under: uncultured bacterium
Lineage: Bacteria
Description: partial 16S ribosomal RNA
Rfam family: Bacterial small subunit ribosomal RNA
Source: RNAcentral